AGCGAACGUUUGCGGCGGGCUUAACACAUGCAAGUCGAACGAGAAUCCCUUCGGGGAGGAAAGUGGCGCACGGGUGCGUAACACGUGGAUAACCAACCCAUUGGGUUUGGGACAACACCGGGAAACUGGUGCUAAUACCAGGAUGUGUCGCAGCUGUCUUCAGGCGGUUGCGGAGAAAGGGCCCGCAAGGGUCGCCAACGGACGGGUCCGCGUCCCAUCAGCUAGUUGGUGAGGUAAUGGGCUCACCAAGGCAAAGACGGGUAGCUGGUCUGAGAGGAUGAUCAGCCACACUGGAACUGAGACACGGUCCAGACUCCUACGGGAGGCAGCAGUGGGGAAUAUUGCGCAAUGGGCGAAAGCCUGACGCAGCCACG
Molecule: ribosomal RNA, 374 nt
Filed under: uncultured bacterium
Lineage: Bacteria
Description: bacterial SSU rRNA
Rfam family: Bacterial small subunit ribosomal RNA
Source: RNAcentral